GACUGCUUCGAAGGCCUAGUGGUUAGAGCGUCCGCCUCGGAUGCAGGAGGUUGUGGGUUCAAACCUCAGCAGAGUCA
Non-coding RNA from Potamilus streckersoni, 77 nucleotides. Lineage: Eukaryota; Metazoa; Mollusca; Bivalvia; Unionida; Unionidae. The record is from the annotation of a GenBank genome assembly.